GCAGACACAGGAGCCUGCCUCAGCUAUGCUGGAAAGGUUUAGCUGUGAUGCUAACUGUGUUUCUAAACUGGAUUAGAAACACUGAGUUUAAUGACAGACCCCUCAGCCCCUGUGUAAGGUGCGGCUAGUGGCCCCUCCCAUCACACCCCACACUAGUGAGCUCAACCCAGAUGGAUAAGAAGACAUGGAACCCACUGCCACAGUUUGCCUGACAUUUAUCUACAUAACAGAUUGUGUUCACUCAGACCCAGAGAGGCAGAAAAGCAGAACUAGAUGCACUCUAUGGAUCCAGAGCCCUGGGAGGACGAAGCCUUGCCUAGUGAAGCAUGACAGCCACUGCGUUCCUCCUGACCCAGGGGCAGCUUUACAGGGACGGUACACUGAGCCAGGUCAGGAUCACUGGCUAAUCAGGCAGCUCUGUCAUCUUAAAGUAGAUCCCAAAUACCUGUUCUUUUGUAGUUAUGUUAUAUUAUAAGUUAUAAUGAUGCUAUUUGAUCUCCCUGCUGAAGUAAAUGGGCAAGGAUUAUGUGUUUUAUUUAAGUUGAACACCUAAAAGGUCAA
Long non-coding RNA from Astyanax mexicanus (Mexican tetra), 561 nucleotides. RefSeq lists it as uncharacterized. NCBI's taxonomy places the organism in Eukaryota, Metazoa, Chordata, Actinopteri, Characiformes, Acestrorhamphidae. The transcript has 3 exons. The record is from RefSeq and is a predicted model, not a curated record.